CUGCUAUCAGUUGAGGUUCACAGCAUCAUUGAAGCUUUUUCUGUUUUCAUUAUAAGGAAAGAGAAGAGAGGCU
Long non-coding RNA from Hyaena hyaena (striped hyena), 73 nucleotides. RefSeq lists it as uncharacterized. The transcript has 3 exons. The record is from RefSeq and is a predicted model, not a curated record. Lineage: Eukaryota; Metazoa; Chordata; Mammalia; Carnivora; Hyaenidae.